Passer domesticus (house sparrow) is the source of this 12823-nucleotide RNA transcript. It is a transcript of the gene named Dmx like 2, with no coding region annotated. Lineage: Eukaryota; Metazoa; Chordata; Aves; Passeriformes; Passeridae. The record is from RefSeq and is a predicted model, not a curated record. The transcript is spliced from 46 exons.
CCCCCGCCGGCCCUGAGGCGCGCGCCCGCGGAGCCAUCCGGGUCCCGGCGGCGCGGCGGGGCCGGGGCCGCGAUGCAUCUGCACCAGGUGCUGACCGGCGCCGUGAACCCCGGCGACAACGGGUACUCCGUGGGCAGCGUGCAGGACACCCCCUUCACGGCAUAUGGCUCUGGUUGUGACAUUGUUAUUCUGGCAAAUGACUUUGAAUGUGUGCAGAUUAUUCCCGGUGCUAAACAUGGAAACAUCCAGGUCAGUUGUGUGGAGUGCUCCCAGCGACAAGGCAGGAUUGCAGCAUCGUAUGGAAACGCUGUUUGCAUUUUUGAACCACUUGGUAUAAAUUCUCAUAAAAGAAAUUGUCAGCUGAAGUGUCAGUGGCUGAAAACUGGGCAAUUCUUCCUCAGUUCUAUGACUUACAACCUGGCCUGGGAUCCUCAAGGUAACAGGUUAUUGACAGCAACAGACUUUUUGCAAUUGUGGGCCCCUCCAUCUGAUGACAUUCUAGAGGAAGAUGAAGAUGAUGAUGCCAGCAGUCAGAUCAAGGAUGAUAAAGUCCUCCCGGUUCUAAAUGACUGGAAAUGUGUCUGGCAGUGCAAGACUGCAACAUCAGUACAUUUGAUGUCAUGGUCUCCUGAUGGUGAAUAUUUUGCAACAGCUGGGAAGGAUGACUGCCUCUUGAAGGUUUGGUAUCCUAUGACUGGUUGGAAGUCGUCUCUCCUGCCCCAAGAGAAUGAAGAAAAGAAAAAAUGCUCAGAGGAUGUGCAGUUUUCCUUUGUUUAUUUGGCGCAUCCCCGAGCAGUGACAGGAUUUUCCUGGCGGAACAUCAGCAAGUACAUGCCCAGGGGGUUGGUCUGUAAUGUGUUACUCACAUCAUGCCUCGAUGGCAUCUGCCGGCUGUGGGCAGAGACGCUGCUACCCGAAGAUACUCUCCUGGGGGAGCAGAUCUGUGAAACCACCACUUCCAGCAUCAGCAGCACCAUCUCUCAGUCUGGAAAGCAAAAGGACACUAUACAACAUGCACUAGAGACAAUUCAUCAUUUGAAAAAUAUGAGAAAAGGACAAAGGAGGUCUUCAGUCCUUGUUACCCACACAGAUGUACUGCCAGAUCAGCAGGGCACUCACGAAGUUCAGCGUCACAUUUCCCAUCAAGCAAAUGCACUUGGUCACUUCCACAUAGCAGCAAGCAUCAACCCUAAUACAGAUAUUCCUUCAGUGUUGGCUGGAACUGCUUUUAAUAUAGAUGAAGGCAGUGGAGGCUUCGUUGUCCACUGGCUGAAUAACAAAGAAUUUCAUUUUACAUCCUCUAUUGAAGUAUUCAUGCAGCAUCUAAGACAAAUUUCAGAACAACAACUAGAACAAGAUUUUGAUAUUGAAGCUGAAGAGGAAGAAGAAACAGAAGAAAAAGAAAAAGGCUUACAUAUGAAGUUAGACCAUGAUUUGUCUAUAGACAGAGAAUCAGAGACAGGGACUGGUACAGGCUCUUCAGAACAUGAAGAUGGAGAAAGAGAGGGAAGCCCCAAAACAUCUCUGCUGGCGGGCCCUCGCCUGCCUCUGCCAACAGUUUUGUUGGACCGGAAAAUCGACUUGCUCCUAACGGAAUGGAACAAGAAUCCAGACAUGCUCUUUACUAUCCAUCCUGUUGAUGGUACCUUCCUGGUAUGGCAUGUGAAGUAUUUGGAUGAAUACACUCCAGGCAUCUUUCGCCAAGUUCAGGUUUCAUUUUCUUCUAGGAUUCCUGUUGCAUUUCCAUCUGGAGAUGCUAGCUCCCUUAGCAAAAAUAUUAUGAUGUAUGCCUGUCCUGUCUUUGUAAAAGACAGCAGCAGUGCUGCACAGCAGAAAACAAUGGACUUUCCAAAUAAUACUCUAGCAAGCAAAGGACCAAGCUUUGCCCAGGACAGUGCAAAUGUGAAUAUAAUUUCUCCUGUGGUAAUGAUGAUUUCCAAACAUAUAGAUGGCUCUCUAAACCAGUGGGCAGUUACUUUUGCUGAUAAAUCAGCUUUCACUACUGUGCUAACUGUAUCCCACAAGUUCAGGUACUGUGGACACCGCUUUCACCUCAAUGAUCUGGCCUGCCAUUCCGUUUUACCAUUGCUGCUGACAUCUUCUCAUCACAACGCUCUGUUAACUCCUGAGUCAGACACCUCCUGGGACUCCGACAGGAUAAACAGGAUGAUGGAUCCUGUUAAACAUAAGAGAGGUUCUUCUAAGCAGCAACUUAAAAACGCAGCAACCCGUACAUUCCAUGACCCAAAUGCAAUCUACAGUGAGCUGAUUCUGUGGCGAGUAGACCCCAUAGGACCUUUAUCCUACACUGGAGGAGUGUCUGAGCUGGCUCGAAUUAACUCUCUUCACACCUCUGCUUUCUCUAACGUAGCCUGGCUUCCAACACUAAUUCCCAGCUAUUGCCUUGGUACCUAUUGCAACUCUGCUAGUGCUUGCUUUGUUGCAUCAGAUGGCAAAAACCUGAGGCUCUAUCAAGCUGUUGUAGAUGCACGAAAGCUUCUGGAUGAAUUAUCUGACCCUGAAUCAUCUAAACUUAUUGGGGAGGUGUUUAAUAUUGUGAGCCAACAAUCUACUGCUCGACCAGGAUGUAUCAUUGAGCUCGAUGCAAUAACUAACAAAUGUGGCUCAAACACACAAUUGCUUCAUGUCUUCCAAGAAGACUUCAUUUUGGGAUACAAACCACAUAAGGAGGAUGCAGAAGGGAAGGAAACUGAAAUAUUUUUCCAGCCAUCACAAGGGUAUCGUCCACCACCUUUCUCAGAGAAGUUCUAUCUGGUAGUAAUUGAAAAAGAUAGUAGUGGCUGUUCUGUUCUUCAAAUGUGGCAUCUUCAUCUCAAAUCUGUGCAAGCCUGUUUAGCAAAACCUACUGAAGCAUCUUCAGCAGAUAAUAAGCUUAGUGUACCUGAGCAGAAGACUGUGGAUUCUUCUCCAGAUGUAUCACCUGGCACAAGUCCCAUACCACGAUCUUCAUCAAUUGCUAACCUUCAGACUGCUAGUAAACUCAUUCUGAGCUCCAGACUUGUGUAUAGCCAACCCCUGGAUCUUCCUGUUGGUGUGGAAGUAGUAAGAGCAACUCCUUCAGCAGGUCACUUGAGUUCCUCAUCAAUAUACCCUGUCUGCCUCGCACCUUAUUUGAUAGUAACGUCCUGUUCGGACAACAGAGUGCGGUUCUGGAGAUGCACUGUGGAGACUGACCUGAGCAGCAAAACUGAGGAGAAGGAGACAUACCACUGGAGAAAAUGGCCUUUAAUGAACGAUGAAGGGGAAGACAACAGCAGUACAGUGAGCAUAGUAGGAAGGCCGGUUGCUGUUAGCUGUUCUUACACAGGACGUCUUGCAGUAGCAUACAAACAACCCAUACAGCAUAAUGGGUUUGUUUCCAAAGAAUUUUCCAUGCAUGUUUGUAUACUUGAAUGUGAGUCUACUGGAGGAUCAGAGUGGGUUUUGGAACAGACAAUUCAUCUGGAUGAUUUAGUUAAGGUUGGAAGUGUACUUGACUCAAGGGUCAGCGUGGAUAGUAAUUUAUUUGUUUACAGUAAAUCAGAUGCUUUCUUGAAUAAAGACAAAUACCUGGUGCCCAGUAUCAAGCAUUUGGUGCAUUUGGACUGGGUUUCAAAAGAAGAUGGUUCACAUAUACUGACAGUUGGAGUGGGUGCCAACAUCUUCAUGUAUGGAAGGCUUUCAGGGAUUGUAACAGAUCAAACCAGCAGCAAAGAGGGAGUAGCUGUCAUCACCCUGCCACUAGGAGGGAGCAUAAAACAAGGUGUGAAGUCAAAGUGGGUGUUGCUGAGGUCCAUUGAUUUGGUUUCAUCUGUGGAUGGCACUCCUUCCCUGCCUGUGUCCCUGUCCUGGGUGAGAGAUGGAAUACUGGUGGUGGGAAUGGACUGUGAAAUGCACGUUUAUGCCCAGUGGAAACACGCAGUCAAGUUUGGUAAUGGAGAAAGCGAUGUUUUUCCUUCUGAAGACUCAACAACACAAGAUCCCCUCAAAACAAGCGCAGUAGUGAAGAAGACGAGUGUAAUUGAUGGGGCAGGUGUUGUGGAUGAUGUUUUUGGCACUCCAACUGUAAUUCAGGAUGGGGGCCUCUUUGAAGCUGCUCAUGUUCUUUCACCUACUCUACCCCAGUAUCAUCCCACCCAGUUAUUAGAACUGAUGGACCUGGGUAAAGUUCGCCGAGCCAAAGCCAUUCUGUCGCAUUUAGUUAAAUGCAUUGCAGGAGAAGUUGCAAUAGUCAAAGACACAGAGGCUGGAGAAGGGACUGGUCCUAAACGCCAUCUUUCUCGCACCAUCAGUGUGAGUGGCAGUACUGCCAAGGAUACCAUUACUGCUGGGAAGGAUGGCACCCGAGACUACACAGAGAUAGACUCAAUUCCCCCACUGCCGCUGUAUGCACUGCUUGCUGCUGAUCAGGAUGCCACCUAUGUUGCCGAAGAAACUUCUAAAAUACCUCAGGGCUCUGAAGACCAUGCAAAGAGAAAAGCAGAGGAUCAGUACUCGGAUCUGUUCCAGAUUCAACCUGUUACAACGGAAGACUUUAUAGAUUUUGAGCCUGAAAAGAGGGAGAGUAAAUCCAAAGUGAUUAAUCUGUCACAGUAUGGGCCAACUUACUUUGGCCGAGAGCAUGCCAGUGUCCUUUCAAGCCACCUGAUGCACUCAAGUUUGCCAGGCCUCACUCGACUGGAGCAGAUGUUCCUUGUAGCUUUGGCAGACACUGUGGCCACGACAAGCACUGAACUAGAUGAGAACAGAGAUAAGAAUUACUCAGGAAGAGAUACCUUAGAUGAAUGUGGCCUCCGGUACCUGCUGGCCAUGCGCCUGCACACCUGCCUGCUGACAUCCCUGCCUCCCCUGUACCGUGUCCAGCUGCUCCACCAAGGCCUGUCAACUUGCCAUUUUGCAUGGGCUUUCCAUUCUGAGGCGGAGGAGGAGUUGAUCAAUAUGAUUCCUGCUAUCCAGAAGGGAGACCCACAGUGGUCUGAGCUGAGAGCUAUGGGCAUUGGUUGGUGGGUCAGGAAUAUCAACACUCUCCGAAGGUGCAUUGAGAAGGUUGCAAAAGCUUCGUUCCAGAGGAACAAUGAUGCCUUAGAUGCUGCACUUUUUUACCUUGCUAUGAAGAAAAAAGCAGUGGUGUGGGGUCUGUUUAGGUCCCAGCAUGAUGAAAAGAUGACUGCCUUUUUCAGCCACAACUUCAAUGAAGACCGAUGGCGUAAAGCUGCUUUAAAAAAUGCUUUUGCUUUGUUGGGAAAACAACGUUUUGAGCAGUCAGCUGCAUUUUUCUUGCUAGCAGGUUCACUAAAAGAUGCUAUAGAGGUGUGCCUUGAGAAAAUGGAAGACAUCCAGUUGGCCAUGGUCAUUGCUCGUUUGUAUGAAUCAGAGUUUGAAACCUCUGUCACAUACACCUCCAUUCUCUAUGAAAAGAUUUUGGGUUGCCAGAAGGAUGGAACCGGAUUCAGCUGUACUAAGUUGCAUUCUGAUCCAUUUCUGAGAAGCAUUGCAUACUGGAUAAUGAAAGAUUACACACGAGCACUGGAUACAUUAUUGGAACAAACGCCCAAAGAUGAUGAUGAAAACCCAGUUAUCGUCAAAUCCUGCAAUCCUGUGGUGUUCAGUUUCUACAACUAUCUUCGGACCCACCCUUUGCUCAUCCGAAGAUACUUCAGCUCCCCAGAAGGAACUCUCGCCACCUUAGGUCUAAAAACUGAGAAAAGCUUUGUUGAUAAAAUUAAUCUUAUAGAAAGAAAAUUAUUCUUCACUACUGCAAAUGCUCACUUUAAAGUGGGCUGCCCUGUACUAGCUCUUGAAGUCCUUUCCAAAAUUCCAAAAAUAAGAAAAAAGUCUGCUGUAGCUGGAGAAAAAGAUUCAUCCAGUCCUUCAAUCCAGACUGACGUUUCAGAUUCCAAAGCCCUACAGGAUGGUGCUGGAAGUGGUGAUAUAGACUGGUCAAAACCCAUUUCAACUUCCUUUGCUUUGGGGAGCACUGCUGAAUCUUCAGCACAAUUUGACUGGAGUCAACCAGCAGUAAAAUUUGAUGAUGAGCCACUUACUCUUGAUUGGGGUGAAGACAAAAAUGGAUCAGAUGAAGAAGACAAGGAUGUUGGGAUAAUGAUGAAAAAGUCUGAUUCUAAGAGUGAAGAUGAGAAGACCUCAGACACCAGCAUGGCUCAAACACCACAUGGGGAGGUUUCUGAGGCAGGAGACACUGAGGUUGAUGUUAUUGCUGAGCAAUUGAAAUUCAGGGCCUGUUUGAAAAUCCUUAUGACUGAACUGAGGACUUUGGCUACAGGUUAUGAAGUGGAUGGAGGAAAGCUCAGAUUUCAACUGUACAACUGGCUGGAAAAAGAGAUUGCUGCUAUGCAUGAAAUAUGCAACCAUGACACAGGGGACAAAGACUACUGUAAAACAUAUACCAAAGUAAAUGGGGAUCUGCUUGACCCAGAAGAUAUUAUGGAUAAGCCAGACAUUGGCUCGUACGAACGGCACCAGAUCGAAAGACGCAGGUUACAGGCCAAGCGAGAACAUGCUGAGAGAAGGAAGUGGUGGCUGCAGAAGAACCAAGCUCUUCUCAGGGUUUUCCUCAGUUAUUGUAGUCUUCAUGGGGCACAAGGUGGAGGUUUAGCAUCUGUAAGGAUGGAGCUGAAGUUCUUGCUGCAGGAGUCACAGCAGGAAACUACUGUAAAGCAACUCCAGUCUCCGCUUCCACUACCCACAACACUUCCACUGCUUUCUGCAAGCAUAGCGUCCACAAAAACUGUGAUAGCUAAUCCUGUGCUGUACUUAAACAACCACAUCCAUGAUAUACUUUACACUAUUGUGCAGAUGAAAUCACCACCACAUCCUAAUAUUGAAGAUGUCAAGGUGUACACACUUCACUCUUUAGCAGCUUCUCUUUCUGCAUCCAUUUAUCAAGCACUAUGUGACAGCCACAGCUACAGCAGUCAAACAGAAGCAAAUCAGUUUACUGGGAUGGUCUAUCAAGGACUGCUUUUGAGUGAUCGACGCAGACUGAGGACAGAAAGCAUCGAAGAGCACGCAACUCCAAACUCAUCUCCUGCUCAGUGGCCUGGUGUGAGUUCACUUAUCAACCUCUUAAGUUCAGCUCAGGAUGAAGACCAACCAAAGCUGAACAUCCUGCUGUGUGAAGCUGUGGUAGCCGUGUACCUGAGUCUGCUGAUCCACGCCCUGGCCACCAACUCGUGUAACGAGCUGUUCCGGCUGGCGGCGCACCCGCUCAACAGCCGCAUGUGGGCUGCUGUCUUUGGAGGGGGCGUCAAGCUGCUCGUGAAACCCCGCCGGCAGUCCGAGAACAUCCCAGCACCUCCUCUUCCAUCAGAAGAAAUGGAUAAACACCGCCGUCGGUUCAACAUGAGAAUGCUGGUGCCAGGAAGACCAGUAAAAGACAGCAAUGUGCCACCACCUGUACCUGCAGAAAGACCCUCUUACAAAGAAAAGUUUAUUCCUCCAGAACUCAGCAUGUGGGACUAUUUUAUGGCAAAGCCCUUUCUCCCUUUAUCAGACAGUGGUGUUAUCUAUGAUUCUGAUGAAAGCAUUCACAGUGAUGAGGAAGAGGAUGAUGCUUUCCUCUCUGAUGUGCAGAUCCAGGAACACACUGAUGCCAAUUCUUACAGCUGGGCUCUUCUACAUCUGACAAUGGUAAAAUUAGUUCUGCACAACAUUAAGAACUUCUUUCCCAUUGCUGGUCUGGAAUUCACUGAUCUGCCUGUAACAUCUCCAUUGGGCAUUGCUGUAAUAAAAAAUUUAGAACACUGGGAACAGAUUCUUCAAGAUAGAAUGGACCAGUUUGAAGGUCCACCUCCAAACUACAUCAAUACUUACCCCAGUGACCUGGGUGUAGGGGCAGGACCAGCUAUUCUCCGCAAUAAAGCCAUGAUUGAACCUGAGAACACACCAUUCAAAUCAAAGGAUUACUCAGCUCUUCCAGCAAAAAGGCUCUGGCAUUUUCUUGUGAAGCAAGAACUUCUUCAGGAGACUUUCAUAAGAUAUAUAUUCACAAAGAAAAGAAAGCAGAGUGAGUCUGUAGAAGAUCGUGUGGAGCAGGUCAAACAAAACUGCGUAGCAGAAGAUCACAAAAACAAGGUUGAAGCAGAUCUUGGAUACCCUGGAGGAAAAGCAAAAAUCAUUCACAAAGAAUCAGAUAUGAUAAUGGCAUUUGCAGUUAACAAGGCAAACAGCAAUGAAAUUGUUUUGGCAUCUACACAUGAUGUUCAAGAACUUGAUAUUUCAGCUCUACUGGCUGCUCAGUCGUUUAUAUGGAUUGGGGAAGAAUAUGACAGAGAGUCUAAAAGUUCUGAUGACGUUGACUUCCGUGGUUCUACCACAACACUGGCUCCUUCAAGUGCACCAUCAUUUGGAGUGAGUCAGAUCCAGCCAUCUCCAUCCAUGCCCUGGCUAGGCACUGGGCAAACCAGCACUGGAGCUGGUGUGCUGAUUAAAAGAAAUCUGAAUAACGUCAAGAGAAUGGCUUCACAUCCAGUCCAUCAGUAUUAUCUUACAGGAGCACAAGAUGGAAGUGUCCGAAUGUUUGAGUGGACAAGGCCACAGCAGCUGGUGUGCUUCCAGCAGGCUGGGAAUGCCAGGGUGACAAGGAUGUAUUUCAAUGCCCAGGGAAAUAAGUGUGGUGUUGCUGAUGGUGAAGGUUUUCUAAGUAUUUGGCAAGUAAACCAAACCACCUCAAAUCCUAAGCCCUACCUGAGUUGGCAGUGCCACAGUAAAACCACAAGUGACUUUGCAUUUAUAACCUCCUCAAGUCUAGUUGCUACAUCGGGACAAUCCAAUGAUAACAGAAAUGUGUGCCUCUGGGACACCUUGGUUUCAUCUAGUAACAGUCUUAUACAUGCCUUCACUUGUCACGACCACGGUGCCACAGUACUUCAGUAUGCGCCCAAGCAUCAACUGCUCAUUUCUGGAGGUAGGAAGGGAUAUAUCUGCAUCUUUGACAUCAGACAGAGGCAAAUCCUGUUCACCUUCCAAGCACACGAGUCAGCUGUUAAGGCCCUUGCACUGGAUCCUUCCGAGGACUAUUUUGUUACAGGCUCAGCUGAAGGCAACAUGAAGUGUGCAAGGCCUUAGUGAUAACAGCAAGUAUCCUGAGAAGAGCCCAGCCAUCCCUGUGCCACACACUGGAGCUUAGCUGCAGCAGAGGGAUUCCUCCAGCACAUUUGCUAAACAAGUACAACUACUCCCAGAAGCUUCUAUGGAGCCCAAAUUCAAGGACUUCAGUGUCACAGAAUCCAUAGUGCCUCAGUCUGUCUGUGCUGAAGGUAAAUAAUCUCAGAGUGAAGAACAGAACAGAAAGGCCAUUUCUCAGCAGCUCCUUGAGAGGAUUUGAAAAUUCCACAAAUAGUUUGUGUUCAUCUGUACAUGAAGGCAUUUCCCAAUUAACAGUAUGCAAGCAAAGGUUCCCUCAUCCAAGUUCCAAACGUUUGCUGUACACUGACAAAGCGAAUAGGACUUCCUACGGACGUUAUGACACAUUCUGGUGGGAAAAAAGCACAUGUCCAUGAUCUGUGACACUGAGACAGAAAGUAGCACUCGAGUCACGCUUUGUAGCAGGUUACCAGCUUUUUUUGAAGGACCUAGGGUUCUGUCUUCAGCCUUUCCAGCGAGGGUGUCAUCAUUUGGUACAUCACAUACCUCAUCUAGGGUGGAGGGAGAAAGAGAAAAGUGACAUGUUUUACCCUAUUUGACAUGAUAGAUGGACAAAUCAGUGACUCCUCUAAAAUAAAGAAAUGAUAACUGGGAUUUUGCUUCAUCUGGAAAAAAAUGCUUAGGUUGGUGGGGUCAAAAAUGAGAUAAGACUUGCUCUCACUUCUGCCAAAGAAAUGAAGUGUUGAGGCUGACAGUCAGCUUUGAGGAGUAACUAAUUAAAUCAAUAGAUUUAGUUCCUUAGCUGUGAAUUUCUGAGUUGCCAUUUAGGAAAAGAGAGUUUCCCUUUUCAUGAGCUAACUUCAGACAGCUGAGGUAGCUGGAAAAUGGCUGAUUUUGUCAUAAGACAAAAAGCGUAGUAGCAUUGUUUUCUAAUUCCAUUCUUAACUCUCCAGCAUUUCACACUGCUUGACACACAGGCUGCACAUUUUUUAGACUUCCAUUUUCAUUGUUUCCUUCUAAUAUAUUUCUAGGAUUUACAGGUCUGUGAUGAAGUUUAAGUGACAACGAUAGUUAAAAAUAGGAAAAAAAUAUAAAGUAAUGCUGAAAGGGUACCAUGACAUUCAAGAAAGAAAGGACAGAUAAUACUGCAUUGUUAUUCCUCCUUUAGGUCAUAUCCUCCUUUUGUUCACGCAGAAGAAAACUACUCCAAGAUGGAGCAAGAACAACAUGUAUUUCUCCCAUCCAUUAUCUAGGGCAUUUGGUGAGAUGACAUUGAAAGUUUGCAAGUGAUCACAAGUAAGGCACAAACAGUCCACCCAGCCACGGUAAGCUGAAUGCCUACAGCUAGAAUUUACCAAUCCCUCGAGAUCCCCUUCCAGCUUCUGAUCCCAAAAUACUUCCAGAAUAUUUCAAAAAACAAAAUCACUCAGCAGAAAUUAUAAAUUGCAAUGCACAUGUUGAUUUUUCUUGGGCUGAGUCUAAUAGAUGCAGCUGACUGAAGGAGCAGCUCCCUGUACAGCAGUUUAUCUAAAACUAUAGGAUAGCCAAGGGCCAGGUCAGUGUUUGUAGCAGAGCUGAGUGCACUAUUUGCCUUUGAGAAUAUUUGCCAUACUUCCAGCUGCAUGGAUUAGAAAGCAUCAAAAAUUAAAGAGAGUUUUCAAUCAGGAUUCUUAUGGGAAAUUUUCACUACUUUCUUCCCAUCAAAAACCAAGAUAAAUAUCCUGCUGCUUCCUAUCAUAAAAUAUUCUGGUUGAGAGUUAAUGGAGUUUAAAAGUCAUUAAAACUAUUCAUUUGGUCUGUUGGAAGAAGGUGGGAGAGAGUUUUGUCUCUUCCAGAAUUCACUAAAGUACCAGGGAGAAAAAAUAUACCUACAGGUCCAACUAAUUAUUCUCUUCUCUUGAAGAAAUUAAGUUUUACCAGAUUCAAAAUUUUCUUUGAAAAAGCCAAGAUUGUAUUCUUAUGCAAUAAGUAAAUUACAGUUAUAAUUCAGCAUAUAUAUUUUCUUUCCUUGAAAGAGUAAUGAAUAUUUAAUUAUAAAAUCUGGAUUAUUCAUUGAAUUUUGGUAAUAAGAUCUCAUGGUUUGCUGAGUCAUAAAACGUAGAAGCUUAUUGAGGAAGAUCUCAUCUUUGCAGAGUUAUUUGAGUGUAACUCCCAUUUUCCUGCUGCAAUUUAAAAUCAAUCAGAAAUCCACCAGAGAGCUUAUCCUCCAAAGCAUUUCAGUUUGUUUCAACACUGGAAAAGAGGCCACCUGAGCAAAUGGCCCAAUUAUCUCAUACAACAGUUCAUGCAUUUCUGAAUUUCAAAUAGGAUGAGAUUUCUGCUCUAGCUCUCUCUUGUCCAUUGUAAGGAGGCUCUCUGGGCUCUGACACUUCAAUGUCCAGAAUCAGGGGUUUAUAUUUGCAUCUAAAAUUAAAUAUUCAUUAUAUAAAAGCCAACUAUUUCAGCUGCAUUUCUCUUACUUUCCAAAUUUAUCCCACCUAAUAGAAAACACCAUUUGUAAAUGCUUUGCCUGAGCAUUACCAAAACACAAUUAAGGUAGCCUGCUGCCUUACACAAACUGUAUUUCAGCAAAGCACCUGAGCACAUGUUCAGAUUUAAGCUUAUGCAGCUUUAGUGGUGCCAGCAAAACUAAACUCAUGCUUACUGUUUUGAGCCUUGAAGCAAUGGUUUAAUCUUGGUUUAAUGGAAAAGAACCCUUGAGAACACUAACCUGUGCAUUUGCUGCUGUAGAUGUUCUCCUCAAGCUCCACUUUGGCUUUACCUUUACGUUUAUGUGGAGGCCCUGGGGGUCCAGGAGGUCCAGGGGGCCCAGGUGGUCCAGGCUCACCUUUUGCACCUGUGAACAAAAUGCAGUGUCAGGACACAGCCCUUCCCCAGGCAGCAGGAAACCUGCAGAGAACUGUACAUGUCCACAGGACAUCCACAGAACAGCCUCUCUCUUUCUUAAGAGGUUCCAGAGUACAGAAUAUGGUGCAAUAAACUCUCUGAAAUGAACCAGACAGAGCUUCACAAGGAGUAGGAUAUUAAUGCAUUUUAUCUGUCUGGAUUACAGGCCCAUUAGAGAGUUACAAUUUCAGAUGCUACACUGCUGUAAUUUCACACAGUUUAUAUUUGGCUGCUUCACGUGCUCCUGAAUGGAAAUCUGCCCCUCAUUUUCUAAUAGAAAAAUAAAACUACACUGAAACUGAAAAACAAAACCACAUGAAAUAAGGAGCAGGAGGAAAUCAAAUGUAUGAAAGCAUUCCGGAAAGGGUGAAAUUCACAUACACUUCAACCUAAAGGCCAAGCAGAAAGCUUUUUGUGAAGACUUGCCUUGCAAAGAGAGCAAUCUCCUGUGCAUAGCAAUACUCAGACUUCCCUGUGUAUAUAAAUCCUGUUUGUACAGGUUGGUCCUGCCCUUGCAGAUCACAUUCAUGCUUCAGAAGUGGAGCACAUCUUUUUCUGUCAAGCACACUGUUGCAAGAGAACUCCCAAGAGCACUUUUCCAUACCUUCUAAUACCACAUCAUUGUUUGCAUCCCCCUUUUUUCUCUUGGAUCCUCUUGUACCUUUUCCUCCUGGGAUACCAUCCUUGCCAGGUAAACCCAUUUCUCCCGGUUCUCCUUUCUGUCCUUGAUCACCUUUUGGUCCUGGCAAACCUAGAAGUAAAAACCAUUUCAGUAUCAACAGCACUGCUCCAGUAUUAAGCACCAAUUAAUAAAUAUUUUUACUACAAACCA